CAGCAAGAGAUUCAAACCUUGCUUGCUCACAAGGUUAAUAUUUACAAAUAUUGACUUCUGUUGAGCCCUUUGGAACUUAAAAAAUAGUCUCUUGAUUUCUCAGUGAUAACACAGGAGGGAUUUUUGUUUUGUUUUUUUAGUUGGGCAGUGCACAAUUUUAUAUUUUUACUCUGAAAGCUGGUUUGCAAGGAGGUGCAUAAAUAUUAUUUAUCAAAUUACUAGCAUUUUUUGCAAUGCAACUUAUGUUUUUAUAAUGACACCAGAUUAAGAAGAGUGAAAGAAUUGAGCUGCAAAUCUAAGCUUUGCACUCCCAAUCUUAUGUUGGAAUAAUAAAUUCAGUUCAGCCAUAACUUACUGAAUAUGUCUAAUAUUUCUGAAAAUGUCUGAGAUAUUACUGGAUAGGUCAUAGAAGAAAUAUGGAGAAAUGGAAACUAGAAUGAUCUGUGUGAUUCUAGUUGUGGAAGCCGGAAGUUCAAAAUCAAGAUGUCAGCAGUGUGUGUCAGUUCCUUCUGGAGUCUCGAGGAAGGAUCCGUUGUAUGAGUCUCUCCUUCCCUCUGUGCUGCAACUCCUGAAACCUGAAGUCUGUGACUCACCAGUUCUAAGCCCCAGAGUCCUGAUGGGGCACCUCAAGGAGACACUUCAGCCACCUAAGUCAGCUGGACCACCCCAUGACACAGUCAUGGAGGUUCCAGUCUGAAUUCAGAGUCAAUGAUAAGGGAGGCUUCCGUGGCAGAGUGAAAAGCACACACCUGAGAAAUGAAAAGAAAUGGCAAAGGUCACACGUCUCAGGAUGAAUUGCACUGUGUGUGACACCCUAGCUGAAAUCCUAUCCCACAGGACCAUCAGGACCUGUGGAGGCCAUGAAGAACAGACCUUGAAGAUUUCCUGCUGCAGGGAUCAGGAAACUGAGAUGCUUAUCCAUCACUUGUCAUGUGGCAUUACCUAAAGACUGCUUUCAGGAUCAUCCACUACCUUGUAUCUCUGGCCUGCCCCAUGCUCAGCAGAGAAAAUCUGAGCAGAGAAUGUCAGGUGCUUUUGGCAGAAGGCAUUGGCAUACAUGGGGUGGUAAGUAUAAUAUCAAUGGGAUAUUGGCAGAGCACAAGAAAAGAGUCCAGUGCAGUGAGGUAAGGAAAAAGAGAAGCAAAUUCUUCUUAACACUAAUUAUUUCUUCUCCAGCCUAUCUAAGAUUCACAAGAUUUGGGAGCAGUCAAGUAGCAUUUUCUUUCUGUUUAUGAUUUCCCUCUGAGACUAUCAUUGCUUUAGGCAAAUGCAUUCAUGUGAAGAAUCAUUUUUCUCCAUGUCUGAGCCUAUAAUAAAUGUCAACCCUUUUUUGGCAACUGCAACUAAUGCUGCAGACCUACCAUUACUAAAAAUGAAAUUACACAUGUUAGGACCCCAGAUCAAUGUAUUUCAAGGGACAUUUAAGAUCACUCUGGACAGGCAAUGGAAUCUCUCCACCUCUGUAGCUAUGAGCCUCCUUCUGGAAAAAAAGAUAAAAUUUUUACUUGAUUUUUUUUCUCUUUCUCUUAGUGCUUGGAUCAAGCAAAAAAAAUGCAAAUGAAAUUUCUAGCCUUGUUAAUUCCCCUGAAAUCUAGCAUCCUCUCUAAAAUACUUGGUAAAACUAAGCACCCAGGAAACAAAGUUUAAAGUCUUUAAGGUGUGCUCAGUGUAGCCUGUAAGGUGUUUAAUAAAUAGCCCUUAAAUUUGCAUAGAAAUCAUAGGCCAUUGGAGCAAAAAGUAAGCUCAGGCAAUGUCACAGAAAAUGCUUCAUUUUACAGGUGAGAGAAAUGAAUCCCAGAGAGAAUUGGUUUGCACAAAACUACACGUCCGUUUAGUGGCACAGCAAAAACCAGAAUUAAGGUGGUCUGACACUCAUUCCAAUAAUUUUCAUGGUUUUUUAUGUUUUAAGCUUUGAUAGAAAGACUUUUGUGCAUUAUCUCAUUUAAAGAAACUAAUGAGAUGGUAAGUCAUUUACAAGUCAGUCAUCUGGGUAAGAGCAGGGGAUCCUCUGGGAUCUGAAUGCUUGGGUUCAAAUUCCAGCUCCAACAUGUGUCACCUGCAUGACCCUGAACGAUCUUUCUGUGCUUCCCUUUUCUCCACGGUAAGCAAUGGCAUCUAUCUCAGUACCCUUAAAACGAUUGCAUGAAAUACUGGUAAGCAAUGACAACUAUCUCAGUACCCUUGAAAUGAGUGCUUGAAAUGCUACAAGCAAGUGUCUAGAGAGUGCCUGGACCACAGUUAGUACUCCAUAAAUCUGAAGCGACAUGAUGUCAUCUUCACAACAGCUCUCAAAGAUACUCAUGCAGUGAUGAUACGUGUCAAUCAUUUGACGUCAAAUGUAUUUUUCAUUCCAUCUGGCAAAUCAUAUCCCUCUUCUUGAAUGGAAUUCCUCUGUCACUCUGGGUCUUUCAAUUCACCUUGAAGUGUCCAAACGAAAAAGAUGGAUUUGAUGUCGUGAAAUGGCAAUUCUAAAACUCAGGAGAUAUGUUGGUGUUUCUGAGCUCUUACUCCAGUGUCCACUUGUCCAUAGAAUCACCUUUCACUUCUGGGGUCAGAGGACAGCUCCUGGAAUGAUCUCUCAUCUUACGGCAAAAAGGUAUCAAUCCAGCUACUCACAUGAUCAACUCCUCCAGUUCAUUGGUGAAUCUCCUGAAGUAACUUCUUCUUAGUGGAUAUCUAUGAUCACUCUAUUUAAAAUAGUCCCCUUUAUUCCUCAUCUCUUACACUCAAUUUUUUCUUUUUUUCUUUCAAUUGCUUGUCAUGCCUUUCCCUAGACUAUGAACUUAAUGUGAAGUUUGUCUUACUUACCAUGAUAUCCCCAGAACCUAGAAUAAGUAUAUGUCCAUACAUAUUUUUGAAUACCUGAAUAAAUAAACAUUUGUUUUUUUAAGGGUAGAAUAUUUUACCCUGAUCUGCUACUUCUGUUUUCACUUCAUAACAAUUGGAGAUUUCUAA
Molecule: long non-coding RNA, 2955 nt
Filed under: Homo sapiens (human)
Lineage: Eukaryota; Metazoa; Chordata; Mammalia; Primates; Hominidae
Description: HSALNT0069294
Source: RNAcentral